GGCCAGUUUGCUCAGUUGGUUAGAGUGUUGUGCUAAUGGCGCCAAGGUUGCGGGUUCGAUCCCCGUAUGGGCCA
Non-coding RNA from Perca flavescens (yellow perch), 74 nucleotides. NCBI's taxonomy places the organism in Eukaryota, Metazoa, Chordata, Actinopteri, Perciformes, Percidae. The record is from the annotation of a RefSeq genome assembly.